GGUAAAAUGGCUGAGGUAUAGGCGAUAAAUUGUAAAUUUAUUGACGAAUUAUAUAAAUUCUUUUAUCA
RNAcentral lists this transfer RNA (68 nucleotides) under Pleroneura sp. 1 GYN-2021b. Its description in RNAcentral is "tRNA-Tyr". It matches the Rfam family "tRNA". From Rfam's summary of the family: Transfer RNA (tRNA) molecules are approximately 80 nucleotides in length. Lineage: Eukaryota; Metazoa; Arthropoda; Insecta; Hymenoptera; Xyelidae. The record is from RNAcentral.